AUGCAUGCUUUUACAGUAUGGAAAUUGGUGAUUUAUAAUAACUUGGCAAAUCGCAAAGUGAAAACAGGCGAUAAAUCAUUCAAGUUUCUGACCUAUCAGCUUUCGACGGUAUGGUAUUGGCUUACCGUGGCAGUGACGGUUAACGGGGGAUUAGGGUUCGAUUCCGGAGAGGGAGCCUGAGAAACGGCUACCACAUCUAAGGAAGGCAGCAGGCGCGCAAAUUACCCAAUUCUAACAGUUUGAGAGAGGUAGUAACAAGAAAUAACAAUACAAGGCAAUUAAAAUGCUUUGUAAUUGGAAUGAUAGAAAUUUAAACCCUUUUUAAAGUAUCAAUUGGAGGGCAAGUCUGGUGCCAGCAGCCGCGGUAAUUCCAGCUCCAAUAGCGUAUAUUAAAAUUGUUGCAGUUAAAAAGCUCGUAGUUGAAGUUCUGCUAAAAGUAACCGGUCUGCUUUUAAUAAAAGUGGUAUCUUGGUGUGUAUUUAGCAAUGAUGUCCUUUGAAGUGUUUUUUACUUUAUUGCAAUAAAGCAUAUUCAGGACUUUUACUUUGAGAAAAUUAAAGUGUUUCUAGCAUGCCGACGCUUUGAAUACUGCAGCAUGGAAUAAUAAGAA
Molecule: ribosomal RNA, 610 nt
Filed under: Hepatozoon sp.
Lineage: Eukaryota; Apicomplexa; Hepatozoidae
Description: SSU rRNA
Rfam family: Eukaryotic small subunit ribosomal RNA
Source: RNAcentral